UACGGAGGGGGCUAGCGUUGUCCGAAGUUACUGGGCGUAAAGCGCGCGUAGGCGGGUUGGUAAGUCCGCUGUGAAAGCCCGGAGCUUAACUCCGGAGGGUCGGUGGAUACUGCCAGUCUUGAAGGUGCUAGGGGGAGAUGGAAUUACCGGUGUAGCGGUGAAAUGCGUAGAUAUCGGUAGGAACACCAGUGGCGGAGGCGGUCUCCUGGGGCAUUCUUGACGCUGAGGCGCGAAAGCUGGGGGAGCGAACGGG
Molecule: ribosomal RNA, 253 nt
Filed under: uncultured bacterium
Lineage: Bacteria
Description: partial 16S ribosomal RNA
Rfam family: Bacterial small subunit ribosomal RNA
Source: RNAcentral